GACGAACGCUGGCGGCGCGCUUAACACAUGCAAGUCGAACGGAAAGGCCUGCUUUCCCUUGUGGAUUGCGGGUACUCGAGUGGCGAACGGGUGAGUAACACGUGAGUGAUCUGCCCCCAACUUGGGUAUAAGCCUGGGAAACUGGGUCUAAUUCCCGAUAGGACUGCAGGGUGGUGCCUGUGGUGGAAAACGAUUUUCUAGUGGUUGGGGAUGAGCUCGCGGCCUAUCAGCUUGUUGGUGGGGUAAUGGCCUACCAAGGCGGCGACGGGUAACCGGCCUGAGAGGGUGGACGGCCACAUUGGGACUGAGAUACGGCCCAGACUCCUACGGGAGGCAGCAGUGGGGAAUAUUGCACAAUGGGCGGAAGCCUGAUGCAGCGACGCCGCGUGGGGGAUGACGGCCUUCGGGUUGUAAACUCCUUUCGACCGCGAGGAAGCCACCUGGUUGGAAGGGUGGUGACGGUAGUGGUAGAAGAAGCACCGGCUAACUACGUG
This 494-nucleotide ribosomal RNA is filed under the name uncultured bacterium. Its description in RNAcentral is "partial 16S ribosomal RNA". It matches the Rfam family "Bacterial small subunit ribosomal RNA", at positions 28 to 507 of the family's 1533-position model. The record is from RNAcentral.